RNAcentral lists this unclassified non-coding RNA (206 nucleotides) under plant metagenome. RNAcentral's name for it is "partial contains small subunit ribosomal RNA, internal transcribed spacer 1, and 5.8S ribosomal RNA". The record is from RNAcentral.
UCUCCGUUGGUGAACCAGCGGAGGGAUCAUUACUGGAAUCGCAAGAUCCCACAACCCUCGUGAACCUACCGAACGUUGCCUCGGCGGGCGCCCCGCCUCCCGCCGGGCGUCACCCCCCCCGGUGGCCCCCUACUCUGGCUCUGCAGCGUGGCAUCCCGGGAAACAAAAACAAGUCAAAACUUUUAACAACGGAUCUCUUGGCUCUA